This is a non-coding RNA of Manis javanica (Malayan pangolin), 2750 nucleotides long. NCBI's taxonomy places the organism in Eukaryota, Metazoa, Chordata, Mammalia, Pholidota, Manidae. The record is from RefSeq and is a predicted model, not a curated record.
CUUCUCGCUCACCAGCUUCCCCCGCCUCCAGCCCGCAGUACGCCGGGGCCCGCAGCCAGGCCCCACCCCCUCCCUUUCUUCUCUCCUCCCUCCGGCGGCCCCCCCGCAGGUUGCCAUGGUAGCUAAAUAAACAAACUCGGCGCACGUGGGGGCGGGGGAGAGGGAGGGGCGCGGGCGGGGCCCGGCCCAGCCGUGACGCCAGCCAGGCAGCUGGCUGGUCGGAGCCGCGCUGACGCCGGCGGCGGUGGCUGCGGCGGCCCCGGCGCGGGGCGCUGGGUCUGGGGCACGGUCUGGUCUUCGCGCGACUAGGGCAGUCCGCGUCGCUACGGUCCGCUUUGUGGGUUCGAAGCCCGAGGCUGAGAAGGCUGGUAGGGGCCGAGGGGUCUGUAACGCGCCCGCAACCCCGCUCGCGUACGCGCUUGCGGCUCUCUGCGCGCUGGAGGAGAGCGCGAUUACCCGCGUGACUCACCCAGCCCUCGGUUCCUCCCUUGCGCACGCAGGAGCCCGGCGCUGGUCCCGGAGCGCUAGUGCGGGCGCGUGCCUCGGCCUCGGACGGUUCUUCGCGGGCCCUUCUGCCGCGUGUGCCUGGGGGGUCGAGAGGAAGCGGGUGCCCAGCGCUGUGUGGCGAGUUCUGGGACCAUGAGAAGCCCGGAGGGGUGUUCCCCGCCUGGAAAGGGCGCAGAAAGGGAAACGGAGAUACGGUUUUGCUGUUUAAGGGCGCGAGAAAUGGAGGAAAAGGGCUCAAGAGUAGUCCGUGCGGUGGGGGAGGGCAGAGGGGCUGUGAGGCGCGGGGACACCCUUAACAGGGGAGUCUGAAAGCGCUUUAUAAGCCACGCACUCUUCCACUUCGUGGAUGAGAGGACUGAGUCACAAAGAGGUGAAACGGCCAGGUGAAGGUCAAACGGCAACCCGCUCCUCUGGCCCAGGCGCCGAGCUGCCAAGCCCACAGAAGGGACUUAGCUGGAAAGUGGCCCCGUGCCAGGAAGUGGAGUGAUGCAGUGGGACCCCGGUUCCCGAAAAGGGCACAACGAGCUCGCGGCAGCUGUCCCUGCGCACCGGGAAAAGAAGAGGAAACGGCGAUCGUUAUUUAAGUCUUAUAAAUUCGCCACCCCUCCCCCACUCUCCCCUUAGUUUGAUCAGUAAUUUUCCAGCCGGGAAAUGUUUUUGCCCUCUUCUCUGCAAACAGUGCCUUUUUUUUAAAAACGUGAAUGUGGUGUUCGGUAUCGCUUGCUAAAACGUAGGCUCGCGAGGUGUUUAGUUUGGAUUCAGGCGCGCACAGCCGGGCGCCGCCCGCGCUCUCCACCGAGUCCCCUCACCAGUGAAUGCUGUCGAUCCCGGCCGGCUGUCAACCCAGGAAACGCGAGGAGGAGGACUGGGAAAAGGGUCGAAGCCCCAGCACUGGGCCGAGUGUGCCUUCUCACCCAUUGAGCGCUAGUUGCCUCGUACUUUAAGUCGUUGUCACCUGUUUGUUUGAGUCCGCGAUUCUGCUACCUAUUAGGUUUCUUCAGAAUAUUUGUUCUCCCUGGUUUCUCCACUCCUUGCCUACCACAGAAGCAUUCUUGGAAUGCAUCUCGUCCCAGUGAAUCCACUGGGCCUCCCUGCCAAGGCCAGGAAACCCUCUCUCGGUACAGAGAGUUGGACGCUCUUGAAGAUGACUUCUGUCCUCUAGCUCAGCGUUGGCCAAUGGCUCUGAGGGCCUGCGGUGGGCGGGGGAAUCCUUUGGAAGGGAAACUCGGACCCCCGUCUCCGGGCCUAGAGGGAUUCAAUCCCACUCCAUCAGAGCAGGCCAGUUACUUUAACUCUGAAAAUACUGCCUUUUUCAAAAGGAGGAGCCAAAAAAGGAAAACACCUUCUACCUCCUGAACCCCCUCCUUUCAUUGUGAUGGCAGAAAUGUAUUGGGAUGCUAAGACUUGAGGAUUACAUGGCAAAGUUAUUCACUUCUCAAUCAAGGACAAGGCUAGGUUUCCCAACCCCAACGAACUUGGAUGAGUUUUGGUCCGCAGCCCUUCUCUUGGGGAUGAGCUUUCCCCUGCAACAAAAGUAACCACCAUAAUGAAAAGACAAUAUUACACCGAUGAAUUAAAGCCACCAUCAUAAUGUCACAUAAUCAAGACAAGAUUCUGAAAUUCAACUAAAAAGAUGAACUUGUAGUUUCCAAACAGCCUUCUGGAGGAGGAAAGCCAGUGCCUCUUCGUGGCAGGCAACUAUCUGGUUAUUCUUCUGAUUGCAUCAUAAAGGGAAAUCUCUGUAUUUGCUCCAGAUUUCUAAAAGAGGUAAGGAACUUCAAGUUCACAGAUCAUCUCCUUUCAAGGCAGGUGCCUGGUGUGACAAAAGGGUAUGACCCUCCCUCUCUUCAGAACAGGAAUCAGAGGGAGCAGGAUGUUCAACUAAUAUUAACAACACAGCUCUCAGACUGGGCACCAAAUAUGGUGCUAAGUGCUUUCUAUGCAGCAAGUCAUUUUAUCUCCACACCACCUCUCUGAGGUUGGCACUGCCAUUGGUGACAAGAUUGGGGGUUUCAGGGUCAAGGACCCAGGCAGCCUUGCAGUGAUGCAGUUUGCUGGCACAUAAUAGGUACUCAACUGGUGUUUGUUUAAUAAGUGAACCCCUUUCACAGUUUUUAAAAGUACAGUAUAGAGAUAUCACCUCACACCAGUAAGGAUGGCCAGCAUCGAAAAGACUAAGAACAACAAAUGCUGGUGAAGAUGAGGAGUAGGGGGAACCCUCCUGCACUGCUGGUGGGAAUGUA